This 497-nucleotide ribosomal RNA is filed under the name uncultured bacterium. RNAcentral describes it as "partial 16S ribosomal RNA". It matches the Rfam family "Bacterial small subunit ribosomal RNA", at positions 28 to 507 of the family's 1533-position model. The record is from RNAcentral.
GAUGAACGCUGGCGGCGUGCCUAAUACAUGCAAGUCGAGCGAACAGACGAGGAUCUUGCUCCUCUUACGUUAGCGGCGGACGGGUGAGUAACACGUGGAUAACCUACCUAUAAGACUGGGAUAACUUCGGGAAACCGGAGCUAAUACCGGAUAAUAUAUUGAACCGCAUGGUUCAAUAGUGAAAGACGGUUUUGCUGUCACUUAUAGAUGGAUCCGCGCCGCAUUAGCUAGUUGGUAAGGUAACGGCUUACCAAGGCAACGAUGCGUAGCCGACCUGAGAGGGUGAUCGGCCACACUGGAACUGAGACACGGUCCAGACUCCUACGGGAGGCAGCAGUAGGGAAUCUUCCGCAAUGGGCGAAAGCCUGACGGAGCAACGCCGCGUGAGUGAUGAAGGUCUUCGGAUCGUAAAACUCUGUUAGUAGGGAAGAACAAAUGUGUAAGUAACUAUGCACGUCUUGACGGUACCAAAUCAGAAAGCCACGGCUAACUACGUG